GUUUUGGUAGCUCAAGAAGAGCUUUACAUUGAAGCUGUGAAGGUAGUUACGCUCCGAAAUA
Molecule: transfer RNA, 61 nt
Filed under: Pseudoniphargus sp. 1-Portugal
Lineage: Eukaryota; Metazoa; Arthropoda; Malacostraca; Amphipoda; Allocrangonyctidae
Description: tRNA-Phe
Source: RNAcentral